Molecule: ribosomal RNA, 203 nt
Filed under: uncultured bacterium
Lineage: Bacteria
Description: partial 16S ribosomal RNA
Rfam family: Bacterial small subunit ribosomal RNA
Source: RNAcentral
UACGAAGGGGCUAGCGUUGCUCGGAAUGACUGGGCGUAAAGGGCGCGUAGGCGGUUUGGACAGUCAGAUGUGAAAUUCCUGGGCUCAACCUGGGGGCUGCAUUGAUACGUUCGGACUAGAGUGGGGAAGAGGGUCGUGGAAUUCCCAGUGUAGAGGUGAAAUUCGUAGAUAUUGGGAAGAACACCGGUGGCGAAGGCGGCGAC